This 253-nucleotide ribosomal RNA is filed under the name uncultured bacterium. RNAcentral's name for it is "partial 16S ribosomal RNA". It matches the Rfam family "Bacterial small subunit ribosomal RNA", at positions 524 to 776 of the family's 1533-position model. The record is from RNAcentral.
UACGGAGGAUCCAAGCGUUAUCCGGAUUUAUUGGGUUUAAAGGGUGCGUAGGCGGCCUAUUAAGUCAGGGGUGAAAGACGGUAGCUUAACUAUCGCAGUGCCUUUGAUACUGAUGGGCUUGAAUACACUAGAGGUAGGCGGAAUGUGACAAGUAGCGGUGAAAUGCAUAGAUAUGUCACAGAACACCAAUUACGAAGGCAGCUUACUAUGGUGCAAUUGACGCUGAGGCACGAAAGCGUGGGGAUCAAACAGG